This 250-nucleotide unclassified non-coding RNA is filed under the name Hevea brasiliensis (rubber tree). The record is from RNAcentral. Lineage: Eukaryota; Viridiplantae; Streptophyta; Magnoliopsida; Malpighiales; Euphorbiaceae.
GGAAGAUGCUGACGGUAUCAGCAGCCAUGGUCUGCGCCGUAGCCGUAGCGUCUAUAUGCGGGGCUUCAUCUUCCCCAGAAUCACGCUUCAUCAAAAACACCAUCGCCUCCCAUCAGAUCGUCAUAUUCUCCAAGUCCUAUUGCCCGUACUGUAGAAGGGCAAAAGCUGUUUUCAAGGAAUUGCACAAAGUUCCUCAUGUUGUUGAGCUGGAUCAAAGAGAUGAUGGGAGUGUCAUUCAAGAUGCUCUAAG